UCUGUGACUCCUACGGGAGGCAGCAGUGGGGGAAUAUUGCACAAUGGGCGCAAGCCUGAUGCAGCAACGCCGUGUGAGUGAAGAAGGUUUUCGGAUCGUAAAACUCUGUCCUAAGGGAAGAACAAAUGACGGUACCUUAGGAGGAAGCCCCGGCUAACUACGUGCCAGCAGCCGCGGUAAUACGUAGGGGGCAAGCGUUAUCCGGAAUCACUGGGCGUAAAGGGUGCGUAGGCGGCUUAGCAAGCCAGGGGUGAAAGGCAUUGGCUCAACCAAUGUAAGCCUUUGGAACUGUUAAGCUUGAGUGCAGGAGAGGUAAGUGGAAUUCCUAGUGUAGAGGUGAAAUUCGUAGAUAUUAGGAGGAACACCAGUGGCGAAGGCGACUUACUGGACUGUAACUGACGCUGAUGCACGAAAGCGUGGGUAGCGAACAGGAUUAGAUACCCUGGUAG
RNAcentral lists this ribosomal RNA (449 nucleotides) under uncultured bacterium. Its description in RNAcentral is "bacterial SSU rRNA". It matches the Rfam family "Bacterial small subunit ribosomal RNA", at positions 329 to 793 of the family's 1533-position model. The record is from RNAcentral.